CUCGUCUCCAGGGUGGAGUAUUUUGAAUUUAUAAGUAAUGAAGUGGCAUCUGACACAUGACAAGCUGCUCCUGUUUGCACAGCAACAUUGUGUACUGUGACCACUGUCUAGUUCAGAGGUAGGUAACCUUGGGCAGUCCAGAUGCUGUGAAUUACAUCUCCCAUAAUGCUGGCAAACCAUCAUGGGAGGUGUAGUGCAAAACAUCUGGAAUACCGAAUGCGUAUGAAUGCAAAGUAUGGUGUGUGUGAAUGGUCAGUAACAAGGGUUGAAGCCUUGACGUGGCGUUACUGCUCACAUGUGUAUUCAUGUGCCAAUUCAACCAAUGUGAGUCACUGUAAUACUUAUAAGGUAACCAAAAGUACAGUGAUUGUGGAGAAUGAAACGCCUGUAUCACCUACACACUGUUUACACUGUGACCGUGUCUCCUAUACACUGCUUCACUGUGACUGUAUCUCCUAUACACUGCUUACACUGUGACCGUAUCUCCUAAACACUGCUUACACUGUGACCGUAUCCCAUAAACACUGCUUACACUGUGACCGUAUCUCCUAUACACUGCUUACACUCUGACCGUAUCUCCUGUACACUGCUUACACUGUGACCGUAUCCCACGAACACUGCUUACACUGUGACCCUAUCGCCUAAACACUGCUCAUACUGUGACCGUAUCUCCUAUACACUGCUUACACUGUGACCCUAUCUCCUAAACACUGCGACCGUAUCUCCUAUACACUGCUUAUACUGUGACCGUAUCUCCUAUACCAGUGAUGGCGAACCUAUGGCACGCGUGCCACAGGUGGCACGCCGGGCCCUCUCUGUGGGCACGCGGCCAUAGGUUUGCCAUCACUGCAGAGUAGGCGUCUGCCUGCCCGAAACGGCAGGCGCCUACUCUGCUUCUGUGUCGGCAGGACCGGAAGCAGGGAGGAGGGAUCGAGGAAACAGCUCUCCUGUCCUCCUGCGAGCUAUGUGGAGCGUUGCCGCGCGUUACCAUGGCAACGCUCCACACAGCAUCGCGCGGGAGGACAGGAGAGCUGCAGGACUUGUCAUCCUGUCCUGCAUACCACCACCAGACCACCAGGGAUGGCUGUGUCCCCCCCUCCCCUUCACCAAAGGUUAGAAGAAGGGAAGGGGGGGGUAACUGAUUUAAUAAUCUAUCCCCCUUACCCACAGCACCCCUACCCCCAGCACCCCUACCCACAGAACCCUUACCCCCAGCACCCCCACUACCCACAGCACCCCUACCCCUCUUACCCACAACACCCCUACCUCCAGCACCCCUACACCCCAUAGCACCUCUACCCUCCUUACCCACAGCACCCCUACUCCCCCUACCCCCAGCACACCACAGCACCCCUACCCCCCACACACAGCACCCCAAACACACAGCACCCCCACACACACAGCACCCUUUCCCCCCACACACACAGCACCCUUUCCCCCAAACACACACAGCACCCUUUCCCCCAAACACACACAGCACCCCAACCCCACACAUUACACACAGACACAUACACUGCACCCCUCAAUGCAGUAUAUGUGUGUGUAUUCAGUGUGUAUUCAGCAGACUGCGUGCGUGUAUUCAGCAGACUGCGUACUCAGCAGUGUGCGUGUAUUUAGCGGACUGUGUGUGUAUUUAGCAGUCUGUCUGUGUCUCGGUGAGUGUAUGUAUUAAGCAGUUGUUGUGUGAAUGUGUUCAGCAGUCUGUGUGUAUGUAUUGCAUUUGUUGGAGAUACUAAUAUAAGCUUAAUUUAUAUCGUUAUUUAAAAUUUGUAUAAUUUAACUCUCUGUUGUGUUCUUCUUUUAAAACAAAAGUUGUUAACUGUACGAGUAGUUUUUUCUAAACGUAAACCUCACUAUUCAGGUUUAAUUUCCAUGUUGGCACUUUGAUGGAAAAAAAGUUGGCAUGUAUUGCGGUUUGGGCACUCGGGCUCAAAAAGGUUCGCCAUCACUGUCCUAUACACUGCUUUUAUUCAAAAUUGAAAGCGCUCGAUCAUUCUUUUUAUUCUACGCCUCCAAUCUCCAACAUUGAAAUUGUCGUUUGUAAUAAUAUAAAAUAAGUAAUAUGCUUUCUGGUUACGAAUUGGUGAGUUGUAACUAUAUUUUUUUAAUUUUACAGUUCCAGAGGGAAGGAGCAAACCGCUUUGAGGAGUCCCUGCACAAGAGACUAUUGGAUACUGAAGGGCUGUACUGCAGUGUUGGCUCUAGACUUGGCGAGGCCUGAGGCGAAACUCAUACAUGAGACCCCACGGAGAACACCAUUAUUGAAGAAAAAAUAGCAGUUGACUUUGUGUAUAAGAAGCUGUAGAUAUAUUGAUGGGGGAGCUUGCAGCACUGGAUACACAGAGCUAGUCUCUGUAUACAUCGUUGCAUUAUCUACCUGAGUGUGUGUCUGACAGUGAGUAUCCUUGUAUCUGUAUGUAUGUUUCUCUGAGCAUGUGUAUGUUUGUGUACUGACUGGCCUUUGACACUGAGUUUAUGGCGAAGCUAUGUUUUAUGACGGUGUGUAUAAUGAUUGCCUUUGGGGGGUGACAGGGUGAGUAAAG
Pelobates cultripes (western spadefoot toad) is the source of this 2543-nucleotide non-coding RNA. Lineage: Eukaryota; Metazoa; Chordata; Amphibia; Anura; Pelobatidae. The record is from the annotation of a GenBank genome assembly.